GCAGUAGAGACACAUAUCAUUUUCGGGAUUAUGCUCUUAAAGGCUGAUGUGAGCUUACAUGCCUCUCCUCCUCUAUAGCAGCAAACUUGGAAGUUGCAUAGUGAGACGGCAUCCUCACAAGAUGGCUGAGUCAUGGGUGAAGGGGAGUCUCUGCCAGUCUCCAUCAGUCUCUAUGGGAGCAGUAAGAGCUGAAUAUGAAAAUUAUCUGCCAGACUGACUUUCAACCUGUGAAUGAUGGGCCGCACCAUAUGAUUGAAACAGGCAUGAUGACAGAGUCUUGAAUUUGGUCUGUGGAAGAUCUCCUCCUGUCUGUAAUUACACCAAAAUGAAAUGUCCUCAGUUGAAAAGAACCAAUGAAUUAUAUUUUAAAAUCUACAGAAACA
Molecule: long non-coding RNA, 383 nt
Filed under: Capra hircus (goat)
Lineage: Eukaryota; Metazoa; Chordata; Mammalia; Artiodactyla; Bovidae
Description: lncRNA (ENSCHIG00000002762.1)
Source: RNAcentral